UGAAAAUUCUGAAAGGAAGUGAUAUAUUGUAUAACUGUAUACAAUAUGGCGGGUGUCUGUUUGUUUGUAGAUCGGUUUUAGAUAUACGAUCGUGGGCAGCUGACCUUUAUUAUGCUUCUCUCAUUUGUAUCCUUUUAUCCGCUUCGACUUUAUAUGUGUAGUAAAUGAGAUUGGUGCUUUCUCAGAAUUUUACUAUAAUUUG
RNAcentral lists this unclassified non-coding RNA (202 nucleotides) under Hevea brasiliensis (rubber tree). The record is from RNAcentral. Lineage: Eukaryota; Viridiplantae; Streptophyta; Magnoliopsida; Malpighiales; Euphorbiaceae.